CCUACGGGUGGCAGCAGUGAGGAAUAUUGGUCAAUGGGCGCGAGCCUGAACCAGCCACGUCGCGUGAGGGAAGACGGCCCUACGGGUUGUAAACCUCUUUUGCCGGGGAGCAACGGGCGCCACGUGUGGCGCCACUGAGAGUACCCGGAGAACAAGCAUCGGCUAACUACGUGCCAGCAGCCGCGGUAAUACGGAGGAUGCGAGCUGUAUACGGCUUUAUUGGGGUUAAAGGGGGCGUAGGCGGAGCGUUAAGUCAGCGGUAAAAUUGAGGGGUUAAACCCCUUCCCGCCAUUGAAACUGGCGUUCUUGAGUGGAAGAGAGGUAUGCGGAAUGCGUGGUGUAGGGGUGAAAUGCAUAGAGAUCAAGCAGAACCCUGAUUGCGAAGGCAGCAUGCCGGCUUCCGACUGACGCUGAAGCACGAAAGCGUGGGGAUCGAACAGGAUUAGAUACCCGAGUAGUC
RNAcentral lists this ribosomal RNA (460 nucleotides) under uncultured bacterium. RNAcentral describes it as "partial 16S ribosomal RNA". It matches the Rfam family "Bacterial small subunit ribosomal RNA", at positions 338 to 795 of the family's 1533-position model. The record is from RNAcentral.